Ictidomys tridecemlineatus (thirteen-lined ground squirrel) is the source of this 2814-nucleotide non-coding RNA. Lineage: Eukaryota; Metazoa; Chordata; Mammalia; Rodentia; Sciuridae. The record is from RefSeq and is a predicted model, not a curated record.
AAUGUGCCACCCCUAAGCCUCGGGUCCCCCAAGGCUGCUUCUUCCUGGGAGCUGGCCCCUCACCUGCCCUCUCCCUAGAACCCCAGUGAAACACUUGCCUCGUGUGAAAUUUUCGUUCCCCAAACUCAGAACCCUACGUCCCCAUUCUGCAGCAUCCCUCAGCACUGAAGUCCCUGUGCCACUGGCUGCCCGUCUGCCACCAGCCCAGGCCUCCUCACCUUCCUGGGGUUGGCCCUGGGCCCUCCUCUAGCCCUAGCCCCUGGGCCCCGGCUUGGCUGGUCCCUGGUGAUAGAGCUUACUCCCGGUAGGCACUGCCUCCACCCCCUGGAAGUCACCCUCUGUCCCCUGCCAGCCCAGUCGCCUCAUCACCUGGCAGGACUUGGUCCCACCUGAGUGAGACAGGAGUGAUGGGCAGCUGGUAGCCCCUGAGUCCGAAGGUCGCCAUCUACACCAGGAACUAGGCUCCAUCCUUGCUCCUAAAGGUGUUGCUGGCCAGGCCAAGGACCAGCCACUCCCCCUGUAACUAUAGAGCUUGUGACAGGCAGGGGCAGGCGCACAGUUCCAACCUCCCUGAGCAGCCCCGGCAAGACCCCUGCCCAGGCAGCAGACUUUGGCAUGAGGCUGCACCAGUGGUGCUGGACCUGGGCUGCAGCUUCCCCAUGUGGACAGAGGAGUUGUCCCCUGCUGGUGGGCUCCCAGGAUGGGGGAGUGCUCAGGGUGGCUGGAGCUGGCUAGGUGCCAGCUCUCCUCUGCCGCUGUCCUGGUGCCCCCCAAGGCUGGGACGUAGGCAGAUCUUGUAGAAGGGCAAGUUUGGGGCUUGGGGAUGCGGGUGCCCCCAAAGCUGUUUGGGGCCUUGGCCCUGAGUCUGCCCAGUCCCCAGCAGAGGGAGACCCAUCCACAAGGGCUCCAUUCUUGGCUGAGGAGGUGGGCCCUGGGCAGCACUGCAGGCCAGUGGUGGGUGCAGUGUGGGGUGAGGACUAGCCUCAGGCUCCUGGUAACAGUUCACCUGCCAGCCCUGCCCAGGACCAGCCCCGCCCAGGACAAGUGACUCAGAUACAAGAGGAAUAAGAUUUUCCCCUUAGGUCUUCUUGGCAGGACCCCGCAAGGGGCAUGGCAGGAAGGGUAGCGGAUCCUCUGACUUGGCCAGCAACGGUCAGGGAGUGGGUCUCCCAUCUGCCUUCCCUUGGUCCCUGGAUCUCCUCCUGGGGAGGGUGGUGCCUGCAGAGACCACCAGCUCCCAGCAAGGUCCCAGGCCGCGCCUUUCCCCACAGACCCCAGCCCUGCCUGCACUUCUGUCCCCCAAGACCAUCUGAGCCCCACUCUGGGCACCAGGCCAGGGCAGAGCUCCCAGCCCAAGUCUGGCAGAGCAGCAGCCAGCAUCUGUGAGGAUCCACUGUGUGCCCAGCACUGCGAUCCUGUCUGGCACAGCCUCUGCAUUCACCACCCCCGCCUGGGAGCAGGCCAAGCCCGUCCCUGGUCCCUGCUCCCUGGGACAGGCGAGCAGGGACAGCAUGUGCUGUGCUCUGGCCAGCCCAGCACCAUCCCACUCUGCCUACAGGUUCAAGGCCACUGUCCCUGCCCCAAACCUCCUCUUCCUUAGAUGCACUUGCUCUGCUCCCAGCCCCCCUGCCCGUGGUGGCUGCCCGAGGACAUGAGAUUUCUGCCCCCAGCCUACCCUCUGGUCCCUCUCACCAGCUACUGAAAGGGGCAGCUGCCAGGAUUCCCACCAGCUGAGUCCUGAAAGGGGACCCUGGGGUUGGGCAGACCUGGGAGGAGCCUCAGAGUGACCUUGGUCUUGGUCUCCUGCAGCCCAGUUCUCUGGGUCUGGGGACAAGUGAGUUUGGUGGCCCAGACCCUGAGCUGCAGGAACACCCCCAUCCAGAGACCACGACUCAUGCUGAGGCAGCCCUCAGUGCUGCAGCCCCUUAGGACCUUGCGCGGUCACUGUCCUCUUCCAAGGUCUGAGCAGCAGCUUAGAGUGCAGCCUGGGCCAGCAGAGCUGGAGGGACUCAUGGGUACCUGGUGUCUGCCACGUACCUGGCUGCUGAUAGACAUUCAGAGGCCAAGAGGACGUACACACAGAGCUCGGAAAAUGCCCCAGCUAAGGACACCCAGGUAGGCGUCUUUUUGCAGGUGUAAACAGGUGGUGUCCAUGUGGGCUCUUCGGCAGAGACCAUGAGGCAGACGGGGUCACUGGUGUGGCCUUUGGACACAGGGUGACCUGGGCCUCUCAGAGGAUGCAGUUGCUUGAAGUCCCAGGAAUGAAUGUUUGAUUCUCAGCUUUAAACUUGCCGAGGAGAUGUGGGCAGUGGGCAGCACUCUCACCCUCCCUGGACCCCUACGCCAGCGGGUGCUCGUCACUGUCACCAUCUGGCACGGAGGCGUGGGCCCUGCCCUCUCUCAUCCAGACAUCUCCGCCUCCUCACAGACUUCUGUCAGCAUCCGCCCAGGACCCUGGUGCCUCCUGGCACUGCUCUGGGCGCUGGCUCCUGGGCUUCACGACCACCGCGGUUGCCAGGAGCCCUGGCCAGGCGUUGUGUCCACUCUAUCUUAUGAUUCAGGGUGGUGACAGGAAGAUUCUGGAGGUAGCUGGCACUUCCGGGUUUCCUGAGGGGUGUCACACCUCAGACACUGGACAACUUCCUGCACUAGCAGCCAUGGAUCCUCGGGUCACCUGGCACUGGAAAGGGUGGUCACUCAGCUUCCUGUUGCUGUGUCCAAGUGCGAGGAUGCUCCGCGGUUGGUCCUCCUUCUCCUGUUAAUGGACAUGGGGCCCAGGUUGGGCUGUCACUAAUAAAGCUGCUGGAAAAUCCA